CGUCUCUGGAGGACUGGUGGUGGCUCCGUUGACGCUGGAGUGGACCCGACGAAGUCCAAAGCGGUUGGGCCUUGAAUCUGCUGGAGUUGGUCUCCGCUACACCGAAGUUGGAAGGCAUUUAUAAAGAAAGGCCGUGCAAAGACAUAGGAGAAUGCCAUUAUCUGCAAGCCAACAAGAGCCCCUUGCCAGAGAAUAAAUCAGCUCAAAUCUUGGUCUUGGACUUCUAACUUCCAGAACUGUGAGAAAAUAAAUUUUAGUUGUUUAACCCACCCAAUUUGUGGUGUUGCCUGGGCUGUCCUGGAACUCUUGGGCUCCCAUGAUCCGCUUGCCUCAACCACCCAAGUAGCUGGAACCACAAGCCAGGCUAUUUUCUCAAUGGCUGUUGUCCAGUGGCCUCCUGAAUUCUUUGUCACAUGUGACUUUCCACAGGGCAGUUUAGAACAUGGAGCAUAGCUGCCCUCAGGAGCAAGCAAGGAGCCAGAGGGGUCCCCAAGAUGGAAGCUAGUCUUUGUAACCCCUUCUCAGAAGUGAAAUUCGGAGCCAUGUGUGGUGUUGCAUGCCUGUAACCCCACCAGUCUAGAAGGCUGAGGCAGGAGGAUCCCAAGUUUGAGACUAGCCUGGACAAUUUAGCAAUUUAGUGAGAACCUUUCUCAUGUAGCUCAGUGUGAAGUCCUGGGCUUAAUCCAAGCACCACAAAAAGCAAGAUAUAUGUGACAUUUCAUCAUUUCUACUUUAUCCCAUUUGUUAGAAAUAAGUCACUGGAUCCAAUCCCAUCUAAGGAGAGACUCAAGUCAUGAAUACCAGGAGGUAGCGACCCCUAGAGGCCAUCGCUAGAGUGAGAGCUGUGAUAAAGGAAGUAGAACUCUUUGAAGUGUCUUUGGAGAUUUAAGGCCUGGUGUGGAUCCCUGGGCUCCAUGGUGCUUUUCUUGCUCUCUUUGGACCUCCUGACCUGUGCAUAACCCAGGAAGGGGCCCUGAGCAAGGGCCUAAGAAGCUAAAGAGCAGAUAAGACUCCAGGAUCCGCCGAGGGAGGCCCCACUUCAGGUUUGAUGUGAGCUUCCAGGUCACUGAAGUGGCUAGGACUGAAGAAUUCAGGAGUCAGCC
RNAcentral lists this long non-coding RNA (1103 nucleotides) under Heterocephalus glaber (naked mole-rat). Its description in RNAcentral is "lncRNA (ENSHGLG00000050595.1)". Lineage: Eukaryota; Metazoa; Chordata; Mammalia; Rodentia; Bathyergidae. The record is from RNAcentral.